GCUCAGGCAGCAGGAGGCUUG
This 21-nucleotide microRNA is filed under the name Gallus gallus (chicken). RNAcentral describes it as "gga-miR-1764-5p". The record is from miRBase by way of RNAcentral. Lineage: Eukaryota; Metazoa; Chordata; Aves; Galliformes; Phasianidae.